RNAcentral lists this long non-coding RNA (219 nucleotides) under Carica papaya (papaya). RNAcentral's name for it is "long non-coding RNA (CPAP_LNC005076)". Lineage: Eukaryota; Viridiplantae; Streptophyta; Magnoliopsida; Brassicales; Caricaceae. The record is from RNAcentral.
CCCAGGUGGUCCAUAGGGGUGUUUUCCUUACUCGUGAACCCAAUAACCAAUUUUAACAAUUAACUGACCGUCCCCAUACCCCGUCCGGUAAUGGGUGCCAAAUAAUCCAUCACCUUGAUACCCCGUCCGGUACAAGGGUGAAUCAUAUCUCUUAAACCUUUCUGGUAAGGAACUUUGCAGCUCUGUCUGACUGAGGUAACGUUCAUGGCAGGGUUCCUU